This 286-nucleotide unclassified non-coding RNA is filed under the name Hevea brasiliensis (rubber tree). Lineage: Eukaryota; Viridiplantae; Streptophyta; Magnoliopsida; Malpighiales; Euphorbiaceae. The record is from RNAcentral.
GGCUACUGCUGCAGUUGCAAUAUCUGGAAAACAAUGCAGAUAAAGGAUACAACUAAAACCCUCAAAAAAAUAAAAAGAGAAAAAGAGCAUGCGCAACGUUAACAAUUGGCAGUCACAUACAGAGAAAGAAAGCAGAUAUUAUCUUUGUCAGCAACAUAUUCAAUAGAUAAAAUAAAUCCUAAGCACGGGUAAAAUGGUGAUGCUCGUAAAUCUUUGGAGGGUUAAUGGUGCCACAAAAUCUUCACAGGUCUAAAAAUUUUAAUGGUCUUCUUUACUAAAAGAAAAA